AACGAACGCUGGCGGCAUGCCUAACACAUGCAAGUCGAACGAGACCUUCGGGUCUAGUGGCGCACGGGUGCGUAACGCGUGGGAACCUGCCCUUAGGUUCGGAAUAACUCCCCGAAAGGGGUGCUAAUACCGGAUAAUGUCUUCGGACCAAAGAUUUAUCGCCUUUGGAUGGGCCCGCGUUGGAUUAGCUAGUUGGUAGGGUAAAAGCCUACCAAGGCGACGAUCCAUAGCUGGUCUGAGAGGAUGAUCAGCCACACUGGGACUGAGACACGGCCCAGACUCCUACGGGAGGCAGCAGUGGGGAAUAUUGGACAAUGGGCGAAAGCCUGAUGCAGCAAUGCCGCGUGAGUGAUGAAGGCCUUAGGGUUGUAAAGCUCUUUUAACCGGGAUGAUAAUGACAGUACCGGGAGAAUAAGCUCCGGCUAACUCCGUG
Molecule: ribosomal RNA, 433 nt
Filed under: uncultured bacterium
Lineage: Bacteria
Description: partial 16S ribosomal RNA
Rfam family: Bacterial small subunit ribosomal RNA
Source: RNAcentral